This 827-nucleotide ribosomal RNA is filed under the name Dacrymyces cf. microsporus. Its description in RNAcentral is "eukaryotic LSU rRNA". It matches the Rfam family "Eukaryotic large subunit ribosomal RNA", at positions 68 to 944 of the family's 3401-position model. The record is from RNAcentral. Lineage: Eukaryota; Fungi; Basidiomycota; Dacrymycetes; Dacrymycetales; Dacrymycetaceae.
ACAAGGAUUCCCCUAGUAACUGCGAGUGAAGAGGGAAAAGCUCAAAUUUAUAAUCCUUCGGGAGUUGUAAUCUAGAGAAGUGUUUUCGGUCGUUGCCUCGGACAAGUCCCUUGGAACAGGGCGUCAUAGAGGGUGAGAAUCCCGUCCUUGCCGAGCUCCCAACGUCUAUGUGAUGCACUUUCGAAGAGUCGAGUUGUUUGGGAAUGCAGCUCAAAAUGGGUGGUAAACUCCAUCUAAAGCUAAAUAUUGGCGAGAGACCGAUAGCGAACAAGUACCGUGAGGGAAAGAUGAAAAGCACUUUGGACAGAGAGUUAAACAGUACGUGAAAUUGUUGAAAGGGAAGCGCUUGAAGUCAGUCGCGUCGCUUGGACUCAGCCGCAAGGUGUAUUUCCAUGUGACGGGUCAACAUCAGUUUCGGGCGCGGGAAAAGGGUUUGGGGAAUGUGGCAGCCUCGGCUGUGUUAUAGCCCCUUGCCGUACACCGCGCCCGGGACUGAGGACCGCUAAUAGGAUGUUGACGAAAUGGCUUUAAGCGACCCGUCUUGAAACACGGACCAAGGAGUCUAACAUGUCUGCGAGUGUUUGGGUGUCAAACCCAGGCGCGCAAUGAAAGUAAAUGCAGGUGGGAGGCCUCGGCCGCACCAUCGACCGAUCCGGAUCUCUUGGGAUGGAUUUGAGUAAGAGCAUAUAUGUUGGGACCCGAAAGAUGGUGAACUAUGCCUGAAUAGGGCGAAGCCAGAGGAAACUCUGGUGGAGGCUCGUAGCGAUUCUGACGUGCAAAUCGAUCGUCAAAUUUGGGUAUAGGGGCGAAAGACUAAUCGAACCAUC